GAACCUUACCAGCCCUUGACAUCCCUGUCGCGAGUACCAGAGAUGGAACUCUUCAGUUCGGCUGGACCGGAGACAGGUGCUGCAUGGCUGUCGUCAGCUCGUGUCGUGAGAUGUUGGGUUAAGUCCCGCAACGAGCGCAACCCUCGCCCUUAGUUGCCAUCAUUUAGUUGGGCACUCUAAGGGGACUGCCGGUGAUAAGCCGCGAGGAAGGUGGGGAUGACGUCAAGUCCUCAUGGCCCUUACGGGCUGGGCUACACACGUGCUACAAUGGCGGUGACAGUGGGAUGCAAUGGGGAAACCCUGCGCAAAUCUCAAAAAGCCGUCUCAGUUCGGAUUGUGCUCUGCAACUCGAGCACAUGAAGUUGGAAUCGCUAGUAAUCGCAGAUCAGCACGCUGCGGUGAAUACGUUCCCGGGCCUUGUCACACCGA
RNAcentral lists this ribosomal RNA (429 nucleotides) under uncultured soil bacterium. Its description in RNAcentral is "bacterial SSU rRNA". It matches the Rfam family "Bacterial small subunit ribosomal RNA", at positions 966 to 1393 of the family's 1533-position model. The record is from RNAcentral.